Molecule: ribosomal RNA, 812 nt
Filed under: uncultured bacterium
Lineage: Bacteria
Description: bacterial SSU rRNA
Rfam family: Bacterial small subunit ribosomal RNA
Source: RNAcentral
GUGAAAUGCGUAGAUAUCGGGAGGAACACCAGUGGCGAAGGCGGCUACCUGGCACACAACUGACGCUGAGACGCGAAAGCGUGGGGAGCGAACCGGAUUAGAUACCCGGGUAGUCCACGCCCUAAACGUUGCGAACUAGGUGUUGGUCGGAUUGACCCGAUCAGUGCCGCAGCUAACGCAUUAAGUUCGCCGCCUGGGGAGUACGGUCGCAAGAUUAAAACUCAAAGGAAUAGGCGGGGGCCCGCACAAGCAGCGGAGCGUGUGGUUUAAUUCGAUGCGACGCGAAGAACCUUACCUGGACUUGACAUGUUUGGGAAACAUCGGUGAAAGCCGGUGCCUCUCGCAAGAGACUCUUGCACAGGUGGUGCAUGGCUGUCGUCAGCUCGUGCCGUGAGGUGUUGGGUUAAGUCCCGCAACGAGCGCAACCCCUGUCCUUAGUUGAAUUUCUAGGGAUACUGCCGGGCGAAACCCGGAGGAAGGUGGGGAUGACGUCAAGUCAGCAUGCCCUUUAUGUCCAGGGCUACACACACGCUACAAUGGCCGGUACAACGAGUUCCGACACGGCGACGUGAAGGUAAUCUCUUAAAACCGGUCUCAGUUCGGAUUGCAGGCUGAAACCCGCCUGCAUGAAGUAGGAGUUGCUAGUAAACGCUGGUCAGCACACAGCGUUGAAUACGUUCCCGGGCCUUGCACUCACCGCCCGUCACACCACCCGAGUCUGGUGCUCCCGAAGUCGCUGGCCGAACCCGCAAGGGACGGAGGCGCCGAAGGAGUGCCCGGUGAGGGGGGUGAAGUCGUAACAAGGUAACCGU